RNAcentral lists this ribosomal RNA (519 nucleotides) under uncultured Actinomycetes bacterium. RNAcentral describes it as "bacterial SSU rRNA". It matches the Rfam family "Bacterial small subunit ribosomal RNA", at positions 355 to 867 of the family's 1533-position model. Lineage: Bacteria; Bacillati; Actinomycetota; Actinomycetes. The record is from RNAcentral.
UAGGGAAUCUUGCGCAAUGGGCGAAAGCCUGACGCAGCGACGCCGCGUGAGGGAAGAAGGCCUUCGGGUUGUAAACCUCUUUCAGGAGGGACGAAGCCACUCGGGUUAAUAGCCUAGAGGGUGACGGUACCUCCAGAAGAAGCCCCGGCUAACUACGUGCCAGCAGCCGCGGUAAUACGUAGGGGGCAAGCGUUGUCCGGAUUUAUUGGGCGUAAAGAGCGUGUAGGCGGCCAAGCAGGUCCGCUGUGAAAACUCGAGGCUCAACCUCGAGAGGUCGGUGGAAACCGUUUGGCUAGAGUCCGGAAGAGGAGAGUGGAAUUCCCGGUGUAGCGGUGAAAUGCGCAGAUAUCGGGAAGAACACCCGUGGCGAAGGCGGCUCUCUGGGACGGUACUGACGCUGAGACGCGAAAGCGUGGGGAGCGAACAGGAUUAGAUACCCUGGUAGCCCACGCCGUAAACGAUGGGCACUAGGUGUGGCGGGUAUCGACUCCGCUGUGCCGAAGCUAACGCAUUAAGUCG